CGGGAAGUAGCUCAGCUUGGUAGAGCACUUGGUUUGGGACCAAGGGGUCGCAGGUUCGAACCCCGUCUUCCCGA
This 74-nucleotide transfer RNA is filed under the name Listeria monocytogenes. RNAcentral's name for it is "tRNA-Pro". It matches the Rfam family "tRNA". Rfam says of the family: Transfer RNA (tRNA) molecules are approximately 80 nucleotides in length. Their secondary structure includes four short double-helical elements and three loops (D, anti-codon, and T loops). Further hydrogen bonds mediate the characteristic L-shaped molecular structure. tRNAs have two regions of fundamental functional importance: the anti-codon, which is responsible for specific mRNA codon recognition, and the 3' end, to which the tRNAs corresponding amino acid is attached (by aminoacyl-tRNA synthetases). tRNAs cope with the degeneracy of the genetic code in two manners: having more than one tRNA (with a specific anti-codon) for a particular amino acid; and 'wobble' base-pairing, i.e. permitting non-standard base-pairing at the 3rd anti-codon position. Lineage: Bacteria; Bacillati; Bacillota; Bacilli; Caryophanales; Listeriaceae. The record is from RNAcentral.